RNAcentral lists this small nucleolar RNA (76 nucleotides) under Castor canadensis (American beaver). RNAcentral describes it as "Small nucleolar RNA SNORD113/SNORD114 family (ENSCCNG00000001661.1)". It matches the Rfam family "Small nucleolar RNA SNORD113/SNORD114 family". From Rfam's summary of the family: The imprinted human domain at 14q32 contains two clusters of tandemly repeated small nucleolar RNAs named 14q(I) and 14q(II) snoRNAs. The record is from Rfam by way of RNAcentral. Lineage: Eukaryota; Metazoa; Chordata; Mammalia; Rodentia; Castoridae.
UGGACCAGUGAUGAGUACCAUGGGGUAUCUGAACCAGGAUAUUUUGAUUAAACCCGAAUAUAACUCUGAGGUCUAU